CGCUUUUUUGCUAUGCGCAGAAUCAACGAUUCGAACCUGCAGCAGGUUCGGGUCGAACGAAGUGCGACAACGGAGCAGUUUACGGAGAUGACCCGAAGGGCGAGCGUAGCGAGUCAUCCUGCACGCCCCACCA
RNAcentral lists this small RNA (133 nucleotides) under Citrobacter freundii. RNAcentral describes it as "RtT sRNA". It matches the Rfam family "RtT RNA". Rfam says of the family: This family represents a bacterial cis-regulatory element known as RtT RNA. The exact function of RtT is unknown although it is thought that it may be involved in changing the cellular response in relation to amino acid starvation. The record is from RNAcentral. Lineage: Bacteria; Pseudomonadati; Pseudomonadota; Gammaproteobacteria; Enterobacterales; Enterobacteriaceae.